AGGGAGAUUUCUCCCUCACCAUCACUGAUGCUGAUUACACUAAGAGGACCUGGUACACCUGUGAGUGUGAUGGUGUAGACAUCUGUGAUGUGAGACUACAGAUAGAGGCAUUGAGUUCUUCAGUUUGGAUCAAGUCCAAUGAAAAUCUGGUGCUGGAUUUGCCCAUAUCAGAGUCAGUGAAGGUGAUGUA
Molecule: non-coding RNA, 190 nt
Organism: Electrophorus electricus (electric eel)
Lineage: Eukaryota; Metazoa; Chordata; Actinopteri; Gymnotiformes; Gymnotidae
Source: RefSeq, a predicted model, not a curated record